GUGCAAACCUUCCAGCGUGACAGGGUCUUGUCGAUGACUCUGAUCAUUCCUGUUGUGUUUGCAAAAACAACCCUGGGACGGUUUGAGGCCUCCCCCUGUCCUCUUUCAGGGAGAGGUUAUAGAAAUCCCGGACAAGA
Small nucleolar RNA from Laticauda laticaudata (blue-ringed sea krait), 137 nucleotides. The record is from Ensembl. Lineage: Eukaryota; Metazoa; Chordata; Lepidosauria; Squamata; Elapidae.